CAGCCGCCGCGGGAAUACGUAGGGUGCGAGCGUUAAUCGGAAUUACUGGGCGUAAAGCGUGCGCAGGCGGCUUUGCAAGACAGAUGUGAAAUCCCCGGGCUCAACCUGGGAACUGCAUUUGUGACUGCAAGGCUAGAGUGCGGCAGAGGGAGACGGAAUUCCGCGUGUAGCAGUGAAAUGCGUAGAUAUGCGGAGGAAUACCGAUGGCGAAGGCAGCCCCCUGGGAUAACACCGACGCUCAUGCACGAAAGCGUGGGGAGCAAACAGGAUUAGAUACCCCGGUAGUCCCUGUCUCUUAUAC
RNAcentral lists this ribosomal RNA (301 nucleotides) under uncultured bacterium. RNAcentral describes it as "partial 16S ribosomal RNA". It matches the Rfam family "Bacterial small subunit ribosomal RNA", at positions 509 to 807 of the family's 1533-position model. The record is from RNAcentral.